UUGAUAGUACAUCAUAAUUUCUAUCCGCCCGGGAACUACAAGCACUAGCUUAAAACCCAAAGGACUUGGCGGUGCUUUAGACCCACCUAGAGGAGCCUGUUCUAGAACCGAUACCCCCCGUUCAACCUCACCACUUCUUGUUGAUUCCGCCUAUAUACCGCCGUCGUCAGCUUACCCUGUGAAGGCCUAGUAGUAAGCUAAAUUGGCACAGCCCAAAACGUCAGGUCGAGGUGUAGCACGAAGUGCGUAUAAAUGGGCUACAUUUUCUGAUCCAGAAAACUUUACGGAAGUUUAAAUNNNNNANAUACCCNNAGGAGNAUUUAGCANUAAGUANNNNUUAUACGUUCU
Molecule: ribosomal RNA, 348 nt
Filed under: Neoscopelus macrolepidotus
Lineage: Eukaryota; Metazoa; Chordata; Actinopteri; Myctophiformes; Neoscopelidae
Description: partial 12S ribosomal RNA
Rfam family: Bacterial small subunit ribosomal RNA
Source: RNAcentral